UGAGAUCAUGUGAGACCAACCUAUUUUUGUGAGACCCGUGAGACCAACUGUUUACAUUUAAAACUUCACUGUAAAACACUGUGAAAAGUAACUUUUUCACAACAAUAUUUUUGCCAUGAAGGUUCAGAUAUUUUAUUUUCACAGUGUUUUAUAACGAAGUUUCAAGUAUAAAUAUAGGGUUUCACAAGUCUUACGAAAACAUGUUGGUCUCACGUGA
Molecule: non-coding RNA, 217 nt
Filed under: Cynara cardunculus (cardoon)
Lineage: Eukaryota; Viridiplantae; Streptophyta; Magnoliopsida; Asterales; Asteraceae
Also listed under: 1 other name
Source: miRBase by way of RNAcentral